AGUCCCUGCAGCAGAGAGGCAGCCCAAGGCUCUGCAAAUCACUGCCACUUCAUCACGGCUGCAGCCACCCUUGUGCAGGCCCCAGCUCGAGGUCUUCUCACUCGAUGCUGGUAUGGGGGUGAUGAUCAUCCAUCUGGCAGGUCACAAGGACAACCCUCGGGAUGGGAAAUCUGAUCCUAAUUGCUGAGUCACAGCUAAAGGGCAGAAUGACGUCGUCUGUAACCAUGGCAUGCAUUCCAAACUCAGCCCCAGCUUGGCUUCUCCUCAAGUUUGAGUGAGCCCCUGUCAGUCUACACCACCCCUCCUCAUGUUCGGCUGUUUUCAAGCCGGCACACUGGCAAAGAUGCUGCCAGGAAAGAAGGAAGCCAAGCCCAGGGAGAGGAGAGAGCUGGUUUGCUGUGGGUGGCCAGGAACAAGGUCCCGUGUGUGGAGGAGACAGAACACAGUCAUGAUAUCAGGCCGGGAGCAGUGGCUGACUCCUGUAAUCUCAGAAUUUGGGGAGGCUGAGGUGGGAGGACGGCUCGAGCCCAGGAGUUCAAGACCAGCCUGGGAAACAUAAGGAAACCCAUCUCUAUUUAAAAAAAAAAAUCAGCCAAGCAUGGUGGUGCAUACCUGUAGUAUCUGCCACAUGGGAGGCUGGGGCAGGAGGGUUGCUUGAGCCCAGGAGGUCGAGGCUCCUGUGAGCCGUGAUUAUGCCAUUGCACUCCAGCCUGGGCGACAGAGGGAGACCCUGUCUCCAAGAAAGAAAGAAAAAGAGAGGGGAGGGGAAGAGGGGAAGGGUAAAGGCCACAUACUGGCAUGUACAGCCUCCCCUGCCUGACCCCCAUUCCCAGGAGCCCCUUUCAGAGAGUAAAGAGAGCUGGAACAAGGGAGCAAUGCUGACGGAAGGACAGACAGACAGAUGGACAGACUGCACUGGGGGCAGAAGGGCCCGCAGGCUCCAGACGAGCACGAUCAGCAGGAGAAAGCAGGCCAUGCGCAGGUGAUGUGGGUGCCAGAAGCAACCCAGCAGAUAGAGGAAUUCCAAUAACCGCACAGCACUCAAGUAAAAUAAAAACACCGUGACUUCGCAGCAAGCCAGUAUGGCCCCCUAGAGGCCAAGGGCAGAAUUUUAUUUUUAUCUAUCUAUCUCUCUGUCUAUCUCUCUAUCUGUCUGUCUAUCUAUCUAUUUUCGAGACAGAAUCUCCCUUUGUCGCCCAGGAUGGAGUGCAGUGAUGUGAUCUCGGCUCACUGCAACCUCCGCCUCCAGGCUUCAAGUGAUUCCC
This 1265-nucleotide long non-coding RNA is filed under the name Homo sapiens (human). RNAcentral describes it as "non-protein coding lnc-SNN-7:1". The record is from RNAcentral. Lineage: Eukaryota; Metazoa; Chordata; Mammalia; Primates; Hominidae.